CAGAGGUUGAAAUAUCUAUACUCUUACUAUAUCAAAAAGGUGUAACUCUCGAAGUUUAGACGAUACAUUAACUGUGGAAUGGAAGUCAAUUUAAUUAAAAUAUAGAUGGUCAUUCUCACUACGUUACAUGAACAUCUAACAACAUCCCAUAAGGGGUCACGUCGGGGUGACCUUUUGGAUUAGCCAAUCAAAUGGCUACUUCCAGAAUCUUGGAAGUGAAUUUUAUAUGUCCGAACUAGCAUUACAACAGUACAUAGCUUGCAUUAUCUGUUAGUUUGUUUCAAGUCAUUUCGUCCCAGAAAGCAUAUAUCUACAUGCUGUGCCGAAAUGGUUUGCUCUAGAUGCAUGUUGUGACGAAAUGGUUUGCUUCGAUGACAUCGACAAUUCGCCCUAAAAGUGAAAUACAUAUCUCAAAGGUCAUCAGAACGUGACCCCUUAUGGAAUGUUGUUAGAUGUUCAUGUAACGUAGUGAGAAUGACCAUCUAUAUUUUAAUUAGAUUGAAUGGAAGUAGGUUAUUGAAUGGUCAACAAAUAUAGUUAACAGCCAUUCGUGGCUCUCUAAGGUUGUUUUUUUAAAUUUGGAAGUUUAUACUAUAGCAAGCUACAGAAGUAAAAGUACAUUAAAGUAUACAUGUUAAAGCCACAUACUCCCAAAGAAAUGUUAACAUUUCGAGCUCUUUACAGUUUUCAGAUUUAAUAUAUACCUAACAAAUUAUCGCGAAUCAAAAACUGGAGGAAAAUGUGUAUAUAUAUGAAAAAACAAAAAUGUAUGAGGGAAAUUCUAUGCGAAAUAGUCCCAUAAUGCAACAGCCAAAACACAGACAGAUUCUGCCAAAAAGAAGCGUAAAAGUGACUGGAAUUGGCAAAACCAGAGUAUUUUCUUAGGAAAUGAAAUGAUUGGUUGGAAGUUAGCGAGAGAAGAAAGGGGAAUAGACUCAGAAUUCUGAUUUUGCCGGAUGUCUAUUGGAUUGCUGGCUAGCUUUUGAACAUUGUCAACUUCACAGAUUUAAAAUUGUAUCGGUGUUUUGUUGUAUGCAUAUUACUACAAUUUAAGAUUAAGUAUUUAGAUGUAUGUUUGUUUAUUUUGUUCAGUUAUUACGCGAAUAUUCUGUUAAUAUGUUUAAAUGAAAGCAUUAUUAGGCAAAGUUCACAUAUACUCGAUAUGUAAACAACGGCCAUGUGUAGUUUAUUUGCAGUGCACAUUAAUUGUUAUAGCCUCGUUCUCGGCUCUGUGACAAAUCUUGCGAUAAAAAUGAAUGUGGCUAGUUAUUUUCAUACACUGAUGUCUCAAGGACUCACCUGGUCAAGCAUCCAGGCCAGUGGUCAUUUUGAUGUUAGGAGAGCGUGAAUGAGCAUCUUGGAUUGCCAUUAAUACAUGUGUGCAACUAGAUUUUUAGGUUAUUUGGGAGUAUGUGGCUUUAAGGGACUUCAAUUAUGCUAAAGUAGGUUAUUUCAAAGUACAUUAGGGUAUGUUAAUUACACUGAAUUAGGUUAUUUCUUAUUACGUUGGGGUACGUUAAUUACGCUGAAGUAGGUUCUAAUUACGUUAGGGUAUGUUAAUUACGCUGAAGUAGGUUCUAAGUACAUUAAGGGACAUUAAUUAUGCUGACAUACCAGGUAGGUUAUUUCUAAUUUCGUUAGGGUACGUUAAUUACGCUAAAGUACGUUAUUUCUAAUUACGUUAAGGGACAUUAAUUACGCUGACAUACCAGGUAGGUUAUUUCUAAUUACGAUAGGGUAUGUUUAUUACGCAGAAGUAGGUUAUUUCUAAAGGUUAAGCUGUGUUAUGUAAUGCAUGUGUGGCCUAGCUUUCAUACACCGUAAUAUUUACCUGAUCAAGAUAAUUCACAUGGAUUUUUAUGAGAAAUGGUUUUAAUCGGUUGAUAGCUGAAAUAAGAAUGGGUGAAAAUGGAUAUAAUUUUAAAGUUGUGUUGCAUUUACGACAUAUCUCUAGUGAAAAAAGCUAUUUUCUGCCCCUUCAUAAUAUAUCUUCCAUGUAAAAAUAACUAAAAUCCAUGUACCCAAACUGAAGCAAGGGAGAAUAAUACAAAGAAGCUCGGGAUAGAUUGUUCACCCCAAAGAUUUCACAUAACCAUGCUGAUUUAACCUUGAUCCCAAAUCCUUGAGAAUGCCAUUUGGUUCAAAAGUCUGAAUGUCUAUCCUUGAUGAAAAAAAAAUUUACCGAGAAGUUGUACUUUGGUUUCUUGAAUUAUUUCAUUCCUUCAUCAUUCCUCAAUCCUAACUACCAAGUCAGGAUAAUCCAACCCACGACCUAAGCUCAAGGGUUAACCUCCAACCCCCACCCUCCACCCUGCCAAAAGGGAUAAGGGAUUUUUGUAUUGGUACAGAUCCAAUGGGUUAGGGGAGUUCUAGAGUGUCCCUCUGCCAGUCUAAAAUUAACCUCAACUCCUGAAAUUGACCUCAAUUCUGGAAGUAAUCCAUGUUAGGUAGCAUAUGGUUUAAUUGUUGUUGGUAUGUAUGAGUAAGUCUUUACUGAAUUUUAUUGAUACAAUGAAUUUGUGUGACAAUCGUAAGGUGUUUGGGAUUUUUUCCCCUUGGCACAAGUAUAUGUACCGAACAUUGAAAUUUACGUUAAGCUAUGAGAUACCAUAGUAUAUUGUAUGUCUGAUAUAUAUUUAUAUAUUUGCUCUGGAAAUCUACAGGGUAUAGAGGUAGCCUAUCUUUUAACUUCUCAUUGUUAACACCAAACAUUAUCUUUUUACCGUAUUUGCCAUAUGAAAUUUCCUUGGCUCUUGAAAGUUGAAUUUUUGUGAUUUGGAACUUGGAGUUAGUAAACAGAUUGAUUGGUUGUUACAAUUAAAAAAUAACGAGUCUUGAGAAAUUGAUUAAAAAAUUACCUUUACAUAUAUUGCUGACAUGGUCCCAUCAGAUUGAAUUCUCUUUUAAGGUAAUUCUUUUUGCAUUUUUUGUUUAAUUUAGAUUCAUGGUUAUUGGGUGAUUAUAUACGUAUAUGAUUAUAUAUACAAUGUACAUUGUAUAUUUAUAUAACUGUUAUGUUCAAUGAAAAAUGGAAGCAUGCACCUAGAAAGAGUAGGGUAAAUAUGGCAUUGAGCUGAUUUUAUUAUGUAUAGUUCUUUUUGUUCAGUUUUGUCUGAUAAGUUAUCGACUGAAUACACAGGACAGCCUUUCAUUAAAUUUUAAAUAGCUAUUCACAUUCACCACAGCUUGGAAAUAUCAUUUUACCAGUAGACUAAGCACAGGCUUAGAUAUGACAUUACUGCUUGAAUAUUUAUCAAUAUUGAUAAACUUUUUUUUUUUUUUUAAUUGAUGUAAGUUAAAGAAUAAAUUAAUUUUCUUACCAUAAAAAUCUUUGAUAUUGUUGAGUGUUAUAUUUUAGCAAAAAUUAGAAGUUUUUUAAUAAAAAACAAACCAAAAUUGUCUGGCCUACCAAAAUCCUCAAAAUCACUCUUUAUUGUGCAAUGUACAAAGUUCAUGUCUGGAUGUUGUAGCAUUAAUUAUAAUGGCUCGAUUAAGGCACAGGGACUUGAAACAAAUUCCCAAACCAUGUUCCAUAUAUGGUAUGCAUUACAAAUAUAUUAUUUAUGGACAAUUGGUGAGGAAUUGGUAUCAAAUCCCUGUGAUCUAUGGUAAUAGUUAAUCAAUGUAGAACUCAAAAUACAGGUAUAUACUUAAUUUUCAGUCAAAUUUCUAAUAACUCUAUAGAAUGAUUUUCCAUUACCAAAACUAUAACAUAGAAGUCAUUUAUGCAUUAAUUCUUUGUUUUCUAGUUCGACUGAACUAUUAGAGUGAUAUGGUGAAGCAAAGAUGUCCGACAUGCUCAUUAAUCAAAAAUUGAUAAUGAUACAUGCAUAUUGCAAGUCAUAUUUGGUGUUUAAUUUAUGAGCAUGUUAAUCACCUUUGAUUGAAGUUAGAAUUGUUUUUAGAUACAUUUCGUAUUGCGGACCAGGACCCACAUACAUGUAUACAUGGAUGUCACAGGAUUACAAGAAAUUGUCAAAAUUUUCAUUUUGCUCAAAUAUUGUGAUUUUUUUUAGACAGUGAGUCUUGCUUAGAUUAAGCAUCUUAUAGUUUUCUUCAAUUUGAGAUUUCUUCAGAACACAUGCAUUAGGAAUGCCAUUUCUUACCAAGUACAUUUGUAUAUGAGAUUUUCCUCAUAUUUGAGAUUGAGCAAAACAACACCCAGAAUUUUAGCAAGCAGUAAUACAUUAUCUUUGUAUAUGAAGAAAGUUUGGUGUUUUUCUUGUUUUCAUUUAACAUUUUUUUUUUUGGAUUAAAAAAAAAAGGUUGUAUUCCAAUGUAAUUUGGUUUUACUGGGUUGAUUUUGUUUAAAUCAUUGAAUAUCUCAGUUGCUUCCUAAAUUAUAUAACCAAUAUUCAAGUGGAUCACAAAAUGACAAAAGAUAGACUUUAUAUAGAAAUAUUAUAUAUAUAGAUGCUCAUUAAUAUGUAAAGAAAUGUAUGGGGAAUGUACAUAUCAUUUUUGAUUUUACAUGUGUUAUGUUACUCUUAUGAUCAACAGCAUUUUACAGUUCGAUCUGAGAAGAAUCGGAUCAUUCUAGUGUGUGUGGAAUAUUGUAUAUGUAAUUAAUUUCAUUGGCUUAAAUGUGUUAAGAAUUAUAAGUAAUAAAAUAUGUAUUACAUGAAAA
Pecten maximus is the source of this 4627-nucleotide long non-coding RNA. RefSeq lists it as uncharacterized. The transcript has 2 exons. The record is from RefSeq and is a predicted model, not a curated record. Lineage: Eukaryota; Metazoa; Mollusca; Bivalvia; Pectinida; Pectinidae.